GAUGAACGCUGGCGGCGUGCCUAACACAUGCAAGUCGAACGGAGUCGUUUUGGAAAUCUCUUCGGAGAUGGAAUUCUCGACUUAGUGGCGGACGGGUGAGUAACGCGUGAGCAAUCUGCCUUUAAGAGGGGGAUAACAGUCGGAAACGGCUGCUAAUACCGCAUAAAGCAUUAAAUUCGCAUGUUUUUGAUGCCAAAGGAGCAAUCCGCUUUUAGAUGAGCUCGCGUCUGAUUAGCUAGUUGGCGGGGUAACGGCCCACCAAGGCGACGAUCAGUGGCCGGACUGAGAGGUUGAACGGCCACAUUGGGACUGAGACACGGCCCAGACUCCUACGGGAGGCAGCAGUGGGGAAUAUUGCGCAAUGGGGGAAACCCUGACGCAGCAACGCCGCGUGAUUGAAGAAGGCCUUCGGGUUGUAAAGAUCUUUAAUCAGGGACGAAACAAAUGACGGUACCUGAAGAAUAAGCUCCGGCUAACUACGUG
RNAcentral lists this ribosomal RNA (483 nucleotides) under uncultured bacterium. RNAcentral describes it as "partial 16S ribosomal RNA". It matches the Rfam family "Bacterial small subunit ribosomal RNA", at positions 28 to 507 of the family's 1533-position model. The record is from RNAcentral.